CAGCAGCCGCGGGAAAACGGAGGGAGCUAGCGUUGUUCGGAAUUACUGGGCGUAAAGCGCGCGUAGGCGGUUACUCAAGUCAGAGGUGAAAGCCCGGGGCUCAACCCCGGAACUGCCUUUGAAACUAGGUGACUAGAAUCUUGGAGAGGUCAGUGGAAUUCCGAGUGUAGAGGUGAAAUUCGUAGAUAUUCGGAAGAACACCAGUGGCGAAGGCGACUGACUGGACAAGUAUUGACGCUGAGGUGCGAAAGCGUGGGGAGCAAACAGGAUUAGAUACCCCAGUAGUCCCUGUCUCUUAUAC
This 301-nucleotide ribosomal RNA is filed under the name uncultured bacterium. Its description in RNAcentral is "partial 16S ribosomal RNA". It matches the Rfam family "Bacterial small subunit ribosomal RNA", at positions 509 to 807 of the family's 1533-position model. The record is from RNAcentral.